GGACCCUUCGGGAGGCUUGCACAGGUGCUGCAUGGCUGUCGUCAGCUCGUGUCGUGAGAUGUUCGGUUAAGUCCGCUAACGAGCGCAACCCUCGCUGUGUGUUAUAUGUGUCACACGGGACUGCCGGUCUUAAGCCGGAGGAAGGUGGGGAUGAUGUCAAGUCAGCAUGGCCUUUAUAUCCUGGGCUACACACACGCUACAAUGGCCAACACAAUAGGUUGCUAAGCCGCGAGGUGGCGCCAAUCCAUAAAGUUGGUCUCAGUUCAGAUUGUAGGCUGCAACCCGCCUGCAUGAAGAUGGAGUUGCUAGUAACCGCAGGUCAGCUAUACUGCGGUGAAUACGUUCCCGGGGCUU
Molecule: ribosomal RNA, 354 nt
Filed under: uncultured Leptolinea sp.
Lineage: Bacteria; Bacillati; Chloroflexota; Anaerolineae; Anaerolineales; Anaerolineaceae
Description: bacterial SSU rRNA
Rfam family: Bacterial small subunit ribosomal RNA
Source: RNAcentral